AUGGCGUCGGGGCUCACCAAGUUUGAUGUGGAGAAAUUCGAUGGCACGUGUAACUUCGGUCUAUGGCAGACAAGAGUCAAGGAUAUUCUGGCGCAGCAGGGAAUCAUGAAGGGUUUGCAGGAGACAAAGCCGGCCAAGGUUGACAAUGAUGCAUGGGAGGAUAUGCAAGUGCAGGCGGCCGCUACCAUACGACUUUGUCUUGCGGAUGAGGUCAUGUAUCAUGUCAUGCAUGAAGAUUCUCCUAAGGGAAUUUGGGACAAGUUGGAAAAUCGUAUAUGUCCAAGUCAGCGACCAAUAAGCUAUAUUUGA
RNAcentral lists this ribosomal RNA (309 nucleotides) under Triticum aestivum (bread wheat). RNAcentral's name for it is "partial small subunit ribosomal RNA". Lineage: Eukaryota; Viridiplantae; Streptophyta; Magnoliopsida; Poales; Poaceae. The record is from RNAcentral.